UCCCAAACUGGGAUUAGAUACCCCACUAUGCUUAGCCCUAAACCUAGAUAGUUAGCUCAAACAAAACUAUCCGCCAGAGAACUACUAGCAACAGCUUAAAACUCAAAGGACUUGGCGGUGCUUUAUAUCCCUCUAGAGGAGCCUGUUCUAUAAUCGAUAAACCCCGAUAAACCUCACCAUCUCUUGCUAAUUCAGCCUAUAUACCGCCAUCUUCAGCA
RNAcentral lists this ribosomal RNA (218 nucleotides) under Panthera onca (jaguar). RNAcentral describes it as "partial 12S ribosomal RNA". It matches the Rfam family "Bacterial small subunit ribosomal RNA", at positions 765 to 1060 of the family's 1533-position model. Lineage: Eukaryota; Metazoa; Chordata; Mammalia; Carnivora; Felidae. The record is from RNAcentral.